GAGGGUAUAGCUCAGUGGUAGAGUGUGGGCUUAGUAUGCAUGAGAUCUUUCCUGGGUUCAAACCCCAGUAACUCCA
This 76-nucleotide transfer RNA is filed under the name Camelus bactrianus (Bactrian camel). It matches the Rfam family "tRNA". From Rfam's summary of the family: Transfer RNA (tRNA) molecules are approximately 80 nucleotides in length. Their secondary structure includes four short double-helical elements and three loops (D, anti-codon, and T loops). The record is from Rfam by way of RNAcentral. Lineage: Eukaryota; Metazoa; Chordata; Mammalia; Artiodactyla; Camelidae. RNAcentral also lists the same sequence under 2 other names.